UGGGGAAUAUUGCACAAUGGGCGCAAGCCUGAUGCAGCCAUGCCGCGUGUAUGAAGAAGGCCUUCGGGUUGUAAAGUACUUUCAGCGGGGAGGAAGGGAGUAAAGUUAAUACCUUUGCUCAUUGACGUUACCCGCAGAAGAAGCACCGGCUAACUCCGUGCCAGCAGCCGCGGUAAUACGGAGGGUGCAAGCGUUAAUCGGAAUUACUGGGCGUAAAGCGCACGCAGGCGGUUUGUUAAGUCAGAUGUGAAAUCCCCGGGCUCAACCUGGGAACUGCAUCUGAUACUGGCAAGCUUGAGUCUCGUAGAGGGGGGUAGAAUUCCAGGUGUAGCGGUGAAAUGCGUAGAGAUCUGGAGGAAUACCGGUGGCGAAGGCGGCCCCCUGGACGAAGACUGACGCUUAGGUGCGAAAGCGUGGGGAGCAAACAGG
RNAcentral lists this ribosomal RNA (429 nucleotides) under Chloroflexota bacterium. RNAcentral describes it as "Chloroflexi bacterium partial 16S ribosomal RNA". It matches the Rfam family "Bacterial small subunit ribosomal RNA", at positions 355 to 776 of the family's 1533-position model. The record is from RNAcentral. Lineage: Bacteria; Bacillati; Chloroflexota.